CCUUUGCGCGCCAGGAUAUUUUUUUAAUUUAUUUUUUUUGUCUGUGAGACUGUGAUUUCGCGCGGUUUGUUUUGUGAAAAGUAGUGAACUUGAUUUUCAGGUGGAUUUUUUUAUGAACAUAAAAAUUAGUUAUGCUACUAAUGGGUUUUGGCACCUUUUAGAAAAACAAGGAUAAAGCAAUGGGUUCCGGGGCAUCAGCAGUGGCUGGCGAGGUGCCCGGCACAGAUCUCCGGCUGCCGACCACCGGGCUGAAGUUCACCGCAAACCAGCUCCGAGCCCUCAACUCUUACGUGGACGCGCUCAAUGAGGAUGACCAGAAAGGCCGGAUGACGACUGAGAUGGAAGGUGCAGUGGAGGGAUUGGUCCAGAGGAUCGUGGACGGAGCAGGCCAGAGGGACCCUCGCUUUAGGUGCUGCCAUCUAAUUGCUCU
Molecule: long non-coding RNA, 430 nt
Organism: Ostrinia nubilalis (European corn borer)
Lineage: Eukaryota; Metazoa; Arthropoda; Insecta; Lepidoptera; Crambidae
Exons: 3
Source: RefSeq, a predicted model, not a curated record